GCCCCCGUAGCUCAGUGGAUAGAGCGCCGGUUUCCGGUACCGAAGGUCGCAGGUUCGACUCCUGUCGGGGGCA
Transfer RNA from Corynebacterium frankenforstense DSM 45800, 73 nucleotides. It matches the Rfam family "tRNA". From Rfam's summary of the family: Transfer RNA (tRNA) molecules are approximately 80 nucleotides in length. Their secondary structure includes four short double-helical elements and three loops (D, anti-codon, and T loops). Lineage: Bacteria; Bacillati; Actinomycetota; Actinomycetes; Mycobacteriales; Corynebacteriaceae. The record is from Rfam.